GGCUGGGUAGCUCAGUUGGUACGAGCGCGCGACUGAAAAUCGUGAGGUCGACGGUUCGAUCCCGUCCCCAGCCACCA
Molecule: transfer RNA, 77 nt
Filed under: Actinomycetota bacterium
Lineage: Bacteria; Bacillati; Actinomycetota
Description: Actinobacteria bacterium tRNA-Phe
Rfam family: tRNA
About the family: Transfer RNA (tRNA) molecules are approximately 80 nucleotides in length. Their secondary structure includes four short double-helical elements and three loops (D, anti-codon, and T loops).
Source: RNAcentral